UGAUUUCUAAGAGUCUCAGAGACCUAGGAUCCACAAAAUCAAAACAACAAAACCAAGCCUUUGUGCACAUCUGUGGUUGUGACCAGUUGGAGAGACAUUAGGAGAUGAGAUACUAUGUUCACUCCUCACAGCUGUACCAGGGACCUGAGAUAUUCCGUCACUAUUCUAUGAGCCUGGGCUGGUGAAUGGUUCCUGCUUUCACUAUUCCAGAUGUCCAGCUCUGUACCUUGCUGCUCUCCUUAAAGCCUGCCUCCCUCUAGGGAGCUAUGGUGCAUUACUCACGAGUGACAGAACCAACGAGCUUCAUCUCCCAAGAGGCUGGUGCAUCUGUUUAAAGGAGCAGGCACUAGGCAGAGCAGCCCCCACCCCACCCUCCAUGGCAGAGUGCAGUGGGGGAAGGGAUGGGAUUUCACCAUGUUGUCCAAGCUGGUUUUGAACUCCUGGGGUCAAGAAAUCCACCUGCUUCGGCCUCCCACAGUGCUGGGA
RNAcentral lists this long non-coding RNA (486 nucleotides) under Homo sapiens (human). RNAcentral's name for it is "long intergenic non-protein coding RNA 1524". Lineage: Eukaryota; Metazoa; Chordata; Mammalia; Primates; Hominidae. The record is from RNAcentral.